RNAcentral lists this microRNA precursor (102 nucleotides) under Cucumis melo (muskmelon). RNAcentral describes it as "miR160c stem-loop (cme-MIR160c)". Its record names the gene cme-MIR160c. The stretch from base 7 to 95 matches the Rfam family "mir-160 microRNA precursor family". Rfam says of the family: The hairpin precursors (represented here) are predicted based on base pairing and cross-species conservation -- their extents are not known. In this case the mature sequence is excised from the 5' arm of the hairpin. The record is from miRBase by way of RNAcentral. Lineage: Eukaryota; Viridiplantae; Streptophyta; Magnoliopsida; Cucurbitales; Cucurbitaceae.
UCAUCGUAAUGCCUGGCUCCCUGUAUGCCAUUUGCAAAGCCCAUCAUCUAAAAAUAGGUGGCCUUCUCGAAUGGCAUGCAAGGAGCCAUGCAUGUAUAAAUU